UAGACAUGUUUUGUUGUAUUUUCAAAGGAAAAAUUGCUUUAAGUUCCUUAGAGUGAGUUAAAACAACACUUGAAAAAUUGGAGAGAAGUACCACGUUGCUGAAUGGGAAGGUUUCUCCUUGAACAAAGGCACUGAGGAAAGGCCUUGUGAACACGUAACAAGAAGGUGGCCGUCUGCAAACCAGGAAGAGAGGCCUCACCUGAAACCAAAUCAACCAGAAUCUUCAUGUUAGACUUCUAGCCUCCAGAUCCGUGAGAAGUAAAUGUCUGUUGUCUAAGCCUCACAGUUGAUGAUAUUUUGCUAUGGCAGUCCAAACAGACUAAUGGAAGCAGAUUAAAA
RNAcentral lists this long non-coding RNA (339 nucleotides) under Equus asinus (donkey). RNAcentral describes it as "lncRNA (ENSEASG00005025027.1)". Lineage: Eukaryota; Metazoa; Chordata; Mammalia; Perissodactyla; Equidae. The record is from RNAcentral.